GACGAACGCUGGCGGCGUGCUUAACACAUGCAAGUCGAACGGAAAGGCCCUGCUUUUGUGGGGUGCUCGAGUGGCGAACGGGUGAGUAACACGUGAGUAACCUACCCUUGACUUUGGGAUAACUUCAGGAAACUGGGGCUAAUACCGGAUAGGAGCUCCUGCUGCAUGGUGGGGGUUGGAAAGUUUCGGCGGUUGGGGAUGGACUCGCGGCUUAUCAGCUUGUUGGUGGGGUAGUGGCUUACCAAGGCUUUGACGGGUAGCCGGCCUGAGAGGGUGACCGGCCACAUUGGGACUGAGAUACGGCCCAGACUCCUACGGGCGGCAGCAGUGGGGAAUAUUGCACAAUGGGCGGAAGCCUGAUGCAGCAACGCCGCGUGCGGGAUGACGGCCUUCGGGUUGUAAACCGCUUUCGCCUGUGACGAAGCGUGAGUGACGGUAAUGGGUAAAGAAGCACCGGCUAACUACGUG
Molecule: ribosomal RNA, 468 nt
Filed under: uncultured bacterium
Lineage: Bacteria
Description: partial 16S ribosomal RNA
Rfam family: Bacterial small subunit ribosomal RNA
Source: RNAcentral